ACGAACUCUGGCGGCGUGCUUAACACAUGCAAGUCGCACGGAAAGGCCCUGCUUUUGUGGGGUGCUCGAGUGGCGAACGGGUGAGUAACACGUGAGUAACCUGCCCUUGACUUUGGGAUAACUUCAGGAAACUGGGGCUAAUACCGGAUAGGAGCUCCUGCUGCAUGGUGGGGGUUGGAAAGUUUCGGCGGUUGGGGAUGGACUCGCGGCUUAUCAGCUUGUUGGUGGGGUAGUGGCUUACCAAGGCUUUGACGGGUAGCCGGCCUGAGAGGGUGACCGGCCACAUUGGGACUGAGAUACGGCCCAGACUCCUACGGGAGGCAGCAGUGGGGAAUAUUGCACAAUGGGCGGAAGCCUGAUGCAGCAACGCCGCGUGCGGGAUGACGGCCUUCGGGUUGUAAACCGCUUUCGCCUGUGACGAAGCGUGAGUGACGGUAAUGGGUAAAGAAGCACCGGCUAACUACGUG
RNAcentral lists this ribosomal RNA (467 nucleotides) under uncultured bacterium. RNAcentral describes it as "partial 16S ribosomal RNA". It matches the Rfam family "Bacterial small subunit ribosomal RNA", at positions 29 to 507 of the family's 1533-position model. The record is from RNAcentral.